Molecule: ribosomal RNA, 491 nt
Filed under: uncultured bacterium
Lineage: Bacteria
Description: partial 16S ribosomal RNA
Rfam family: Bacterial small subunit ribosomal RNA
Source: RNAcentral
AGUGAACGCUGGCGGUAGGCCUAACACAUGCAAGUCGAACGGCAGCACAGUAAGAGCUUGCUCUUACGGGUGGCGAGUGGCGGACGGGUGAGGAAUACAUCGGCAUCUACUUUUUCGUGGGGGAUAACGUAGGGAAACUUACGCUAAUACCGCAUACGACCUACGGGUGAAAGCAGGGGAUCUUCGGACCUUGCGCGAUUGAAUGAGCCGAUGUCGGAUUAGCUAGUUGGCGGGGUAAAGGCCCACCAAGGCGACGAUCCGUAGCUGGUCUGAGAGGAUGAUCAGCCUCACUGGAACUGAGACACGGUCCAGACUCCUACGGGAGGCAGCAGUGGGGAAUAUUGGACAAUGGGCGCAAGCCUGAUCCAGCCAUACCGCGUGGGUGAAGAAGGCCUUCGGGUUGUAAAGCCCUUUUGUUGGGAAAGAAAAGCAGCAGGUUAAUACCCCGCUGUUCUGACGGUACCCAAAGAAUAAGCACCGGCUAACCUCGU